CCCUUAGAUGUUCUGGGCCGCACGCGCGCUACAAUGGUCUUCGCAAACGGAUGCAUUCUCGAAGGAGAAUGCCAAUCUUGGAAUCUAUGCCUUGGUCGGGACAGUUGCUUGCAAUUUUUCGACUCGAACCAGGAAUUCCUUGUAAUCGUGAUUCAUCACAUCACGAUGAAUACGUCCCUGCCCCUUGUACACACCGCCCGUCGCUCCUACCGAUCGAAGAGUUAGGUGAAUUGUUUUGAUCGAUAAGAUUUGACUAUGGUCAACUCUCGUUGUGAAAUUCUGUGAAUCUGACUGUUUAGAGGAAGGAAAAGUCGUAACA
This 319-nucleotide ribosomal RNA is filed under the name uncultured eukaryote. RNAcentral describes it as "partial 18S ribosomal RNA". It matches the Rfam family "Eukaryotic small subunit ribosomal RNA", at positions 1470 to 1796 of the family's 1831-position model. The record is from RNAcentral.